UUGAGUUUGAUCGUGGCUCAGAUUGGACGCUGGCGGCAGGCCUAACACAUGCCAAGUCGAACGGUAACAGGAAGCAGCUUGCUGCUUUGCUGACGAGUGGCGGACGGGUGAGUAAUGUCUGGGAAACUGCCCGAUGGAGGGGGAUAACUACUGGAAACGGUAGCUAAUACCGCAUAACGUCGCAAGACCAAAGAGGGGGACCUUCGGGCCUCUUGCCAUCGGAUGUGCCCAGAUGGGAUUAGCUUGUUGGUGAGGUAACGGCUCACCAAGGCGACGAUCCCUAGCUGGUCUGAGAGGAUGACCAGCCACACUGGAACUGAGACACGGUCCAGACUCCUACGGGAGGCAGCAGUGGGGAAUAUUGCACAAUGGGCGCAAGCCUGAUGCAGCCAUGCCGCGUGUAUGAAGAAGGCCUUCGGGUUGUAAAGUACUUUCAGCGGGGAGGAAGGGGAUGUGGUUAAUAACCACAUUCAUUGACGUUACCCGCAGAAGAAGCACCGGCUAACUCCGUGCCAGCCGCCGCCGUAACACAAA
RNAcentral lists this ribosomal RNA (534 nucleotides) under Citrobacter amalonaticus. RNAcentral describes it as "bacterial SSU rRNA". It matches the Rfam family "Bacterial small subunit ribosomal RNA", at positions 1 to 529 of the family's 1533-position model. Lineage: Bacteria; Pseudomonadati; Pseudomonadota; Gammaproteobacteria; Enterobacterales; Enterobacteriaceae. The record is from RNAcentral.